GGCGAGGUAGCUCAGUCGGUUAGAGCGCAGGAUUCAUAACCCUGAGGUCGAGAGUUCAAAUCUCUCUCUCGCUACUA
Molecule: transfer RNA, 77 nt
Filed under: Flavobacterium sp.
Lineage: Bacteria; Pseudomonadati; Bacteroidota; Flavobacteriia; Flavobacteriales; Flavobacteriaceae
Description: tRNA-Met
Rfam family: tRNA
About the family: Transfer RNA (tRNA) molecules are approximately 80 nucleotides in length. Their secondary structure includes four short double-helical elements and three loops (D, anti-codon, and T loops).
Source: RNAcentral